UAGUCCACGCCGUAAACGAUGUCAACUAGCCGUUUGUGUCCUUGAGACGUGAGUGGCGCAGCUAACGCACUAAGUUGACCGCCUGGGGAGUACGGCCGCAAGGUUAAAACUCAAAUGAAUUGACGGGGGCCCGCACAAGCGGUGGAGCAUGUGGUUUAAUUCGAUGCAACGCGAAGAACCUUACCAUCCCUUGACAUCCUAAGAAGUCGCUAGAGAUAGCAAUGUGCCUUCGGGAACUUAGUGACAGGUGCUGCAUGGCUGUCGUCAGCUCGUGUUGUGAAAUGUUGGGUUAAGUCCCGCAACGAGCGCAACCCUUAUCCUUGUUUGCCAGCACGUAAUGGUGGGAACUCCAGGGAGACUGCCGGUGAUAAACCGGAGGAAGGUGGGGACGACGUCAAGUCAUCAUGGCCCUUACGAGUAGGGCUACACACGUGCUACAAUGGCGCAUACAGAGGGCAGCGAGACCGCGAGGUGGAGCGAAUCCCAGAAAGUGCAUCGU
Molecule: ribosomal RNA, 499 nt
Filed under: uncultured bacterium
Lineage: Bacteria
Description: bacterial SSU rRNA
Rfam family: Bacterial small subunit ribosomal RNA
Source: RNAcentral